Phoenix dactylifera (date palm) is the source of this 821-nucleotide long non-coding RNA. RefSeq lists it as uncharacterized. Lineage: Eukaryota; Viridiplantae; Streptophyta; Magnoliopsida; Arecales; Arecaceae. The record is from RefSeq and is a predicted model, not a curated record.
GACCCACGCCAGCCCAUGCCGCUCUCAGCUCGUGAAGUGUCUAAAAAUCGCAGCUCCGGCAACCACCACCCCCCUGCGCUAUGGACGCAAAGCAACGGGCUCGCUCGUGUCUCUGUAUGAGACCACAUCGAAACGAAGGCGAGAGGGACGCGGCCCCGCCGACAGAAGGCUACGUCUUAUCCGUUCGCCGAGGACAAAAUGUGCCACCUUUGCAUGUCUGAUAGAUUGGAACGAUGGAGCGUUCUGGGAAGAGAAUUUUGAUGACCUCUAAUGGAGAUGAGAUCUCAAAGGGUAUCGCGUACAAUCUGGCAAAGUGUGGUUGCAGGCUAGUUUUGAUGGGUGAUGAAGUUGUCCUUCAGAGCAUGGUGGCAGAGAUUACAAGUUCCUUGAAGGGAAUUGAUCAGCCUGAAUAUGGAAGAAGAGAAGGAGGCUGCUUUUGAUGUUGCUGUGGAUAAAGCAUGAAAAUCCUUAGGGGCAUUGGAUGCUUUCAUUAAUUGUUACAUCUUUGAAGGCAUCUGCAAUGGAGACUGGCAAGCAUAAGAUAAGAGUUAACAGCAUUGCCCGGGGCUUGCACUUGGGCGACAAGUAUCUAAGCAGAAUAAAUGAUGAAUAUUUUGAUUAGCCUCAGAUACAUUCUGGAAUUAAAUCUGUGCCAGAGAUGUUACAUGGCUAGUGGUGCCAUUUGAAGAUCUGAGUGCAGUUGGGACUUACAUGUACAAUUUGGUACAUGGUUUGUCGAAAUAAAGUUUUUUCAAGAAACAGGCAGUCAUGACUGCUACUGAGAUUUCUUACCGUGGCAUAGAGUGAGUACUCUUCUUUAA